GGGUGGAGUCCGUCCGUAAGUCCGUCCGUCGUGAAGAAUCCGGUCGACGCUGGUGGGAGUUUAUCCAUCGGUAAAACUUGAGAAUGUCGAGGAGGCUCGGCCGCCGGAGAGGGGACGUCGUCGAAGGUCGGACGUCGGUAGAAUCCUUGAGGGGUCACUCCUGACACGAACUUCGGCUGGGAGGAGAUUUUAUACCCAACAUCAGUCCCCGUACUUUCGAGUUCAAGUUUUGAAUGAAGGAAGUACAGAAAAAUUUUUAAGCCGAAGUUGCCCCCUCG
This 278-nucleotide long non-coding RNA is filed under the name Elaeis guineensis (African oil palm). RNAcentral describes it as "long non-coding RNA (EGUI_LNC019609)". The record is from RNAcentral. Lineage: Eukaryota; Viridiplantae; Streptophyta; Magnoliopsida; Arecales; Arecaceae.